This 1384-nucleotide ribosomal RNA is filed under the name Enterococcus durans. RNAcentral describes it as "bacterial SSU rRNA". It matches the Rfam family "Bacterial small subunit ribosomal RNA", at positions 71 to 1441 of the family's 1533-position model. The record is from RNAcentral. Lineage: Bacteria; Bacillati; Bacillota; Bacilli; Lactobacillales; Enterococcaceae.
GCUUGCUCCACCGGAAAAAGAAGAGUGGCGAACGGGUGAGUAACACGUGGGUAACCUGCCCAUCAGAAGGGGAUAACACUUGGAAACAGGUGCUAAUACCGUAUAACAAUCGAAACCGCAUGGUUUUGAUUUGAAAGGCGCUUUCGGGUGUCGCUGAUGGAUGGACCCGCGGUGCAUUAGCUAGUUGGUGAGGUAACGGCUCACCAAGGCCACGAUGCAUAGCCGACCUGAGAGGGUGAUCGGCCACAUUGGGACUGAGACACGGCCCAAACUCCUACGGGAGGCAGCAGUAGGGAAUCUUCGGCAAUGGACGAAAGUCUGACCGAGCAACGCCGCGUGAGUGAAGAAGGUUUUCGGAUCGUAAAACUCUGUUGUUAGAGAAGAACAAGGAUGAGAGUAACUGUUCAUCCCUUGACGGUAUCUAACCAGAAAGCCACGGCUAACUACGUGCCCAGCAGCCGCGGUAAUACGUAGGUGGCAAGCGUUGUCCGGAUUUAUUGGGCGUAAAGCGAGCGCAGGCGGUUUCUUAAGUCUGAUGUGAAAGCCCCCGGCUCAACCGGGGAGGGUCAUUGGAAACUGGGAGACUUGAGUGCAGAAGAGGAGAGUGGAAUUCCAUGUGUAGCGGUGAAAUGCGUAGAUAUAUGGAGGAACACCAGUGGCGAAGGCGGCUCUCUGGUCUGUAACUGACGCUGAGGCUCGAAAGCGUGGGGAGCAAACAGGAUUAGAUACCCUGGUAGUCCACGCCGUAAACGAUGAGUGCUAAGUGUUGGAGGGUUUCCGCCCUUCAGUGCUGCAGCUAACGCAUUAAGCACUCCGCCUGGGGAGUACGACCGCAAGGUUGAAACUCAAAGGAAUUGACGGGGGCCCGCACAAGCGGUGGAGCAUGUGGUUUAAUUCGAAGCAACGCGAAGAACCUUACCAGGUCUUGACAUCCUUUGACCACUCUAGAGAUAGAGCUUCCCCUUCGGGGGCAAAGUGACAGGUGGUGCAUGGUUGUCGUCAGCUCGUGUCGUGAGAUGUUGGGUUAAGUCCCGCAACGAGCGCAACCCUUAUUGUUAGUUGCCAUCAUUCAGUUGGGCACUCUAGCAAGACUGCCGGUGACAAACCGGAGGAAGGUGGGGAUGACGUCAAAUCAUCAUGCCCCUUAUGACCUGGGCUACACACGUGCUACAAUGGGAAGUACAACGAGUCGCGAAGUCGCGAGGCUAAGCUAAUCUCUUAAAGCUUCUCUCAGUUCGGAUUGUAGGCUGCAACUCGCCUACAUGAAGCCGGAAUCGCUAGUAAUCGCGGAUCAGCACGCCGCGGUGAAUACGUUCCCGGGCCUUGUACACACCGCCCGUCACACCACGAGAGUUUGUAACACCCGAAGUCGGUGAGGUAACCU